GGGGUGCUAUACAUGCAGUCGAGCGAAUGGAUUAAGAGCUUGCUCUUAUGAAGUUAGCGGCGGACGGGUGAGUAACACGUGGGUAACCUGCCCAUAAGACUGGGAUAACUCCGGGAAACCGGGGCUAAUACCGGAUAACAUUUUGAACCGCAUGGUUCGAAAUUGAAAGGCGGCUUCGGCUGUCACUUAUGGAUGGACCCGCGUCGCAUUAGCUAGUUGGUGAGGUAACGGCUCACCAAGGCAACGAUGCGUAGCCGACCUGAGAGGGUGAUCGGCCACACUGGGACUGAGACACGGCCCAGACUCCUACGGGAGGCAGCAGUAGGGAAUCUUCCGCAAUGGACGAAAGUCUGACGGAGCAACGCCGCGU
This 370-nucleotide ribosomal RNA is filed under the name Bacillus cereus. RNAcentral describes it as "bacterial SSU rRNA". It matches the Rfam family "Bacterial small subunit ribosomal RNA", at positions 41 to 402 of the family's 1533-position model. The record is from RNAcentral. Lineage: Bacteria; Bacillati; Bacillota; Bacilli; Caryophanales; Bacillaceae.